CCGUAACUAUAACGGUCCUAAGGUAGCGAAAUUCCUUGUCGGGUAAGUUCCGACCUGCACGAAUGGCGUAAUGAUGGCCAGGCUGUCUCCACCCGAGACUCAGUGAAAUUGAACUCGCUGUGAAGAUGCAGUGUACCCGCGGCAAGACGGAAAGACCCCGUGAACCUUUACUAUAGCUUGACACUGAACAUUGAGCCUUGAUGUGUAGGAUAGGUGGGAGGCUUUGAAGUGUGGACGCCAGUCUGCAUGGAGCCGACCUUGAAAUACCACCCUUUAAUGUUUGAUGUUCUAACGUGGACCCGUGAACCGGGUUGCGGACAGUGUCUGGUGGGUAGUUUGACUGGGGCGGUCUCCUCCUAAAGAGUAACGGAGGAGCACGAAGGUUGGCUAAUCCUGGUCGGACAUCAGGAGGUUAGUGCAAUGGCAUAAGCCAGCUUGACUGCGAGCGUGACGGCGCGAGCAGGUGCGAAAGCAGGUCAUAGUGAUCCGGUGGUUCUGAAUGGAAGGGCCAUCGCUCAACGGAUAAAAGGUACUCCGGGGAUAACAGGCUGAUACCGCCCAAGAGUUCAUAUCGACGGCGGUGUUUGGCACCUCGAUGUCGGCUCAUCACAUCCUGGGGCUGAAGUAGGUCCCAAGGGUAUGGCUGUUCGCCAUUUAAAGUGGUACGCGAGCUGGGUUUAGAACGUCGUGAGACAGUUCGGUCCCUAUCUGCCGUGGGCGCUGGAGAAUUGAGGGGGGCUGCUCCUAGUACGAGAGGACCGGAGUGGACGCAUCACUGGUGUUCGGGUUGUCAUGCCAAUGGCACUGCCCGGUAGCUAAAUGCGGAAGAGAUAAGUGCUGAAAGCAUCUAAGCACGAAACUUGCCCCGAGAUGAGUUCUCCCUGAGACUUUAAGUCUCCUGAAGGAACGUUGAAGACGACGACGUUGAUAGGCCGGGUGUGUAAGCGCAGCGAUGCGUUGAGCUAACCGGUACUAAUGAACCGUGAGGCUUAACCUU
RNAcentral lists this ribosomal RNA (997 nucleotides) under human gut metagenome. Its description in RNAcentral is "bacterial LSU rRNA". It matches the Rfam family "Bacterial large subunit ribosomal RNA", at positions 1934 to 2925 of the family's 2925-position model. The record is from RNAcentral.